CCCCAAGCGUUACUGAGAAUCACUGGGUUUAAAGGGUGCGUAGGUGGUCCGUUAAGUUCGUUGUGAAAUCCCUGGGCUCAACCCAGGAAAUGCUUCGAAUACUGGCGGACUUGAGGCUAGUAGAGGUCACUGGAACUGACGGUGGAGCGGUGAAAUGCGUAGAUAUCGUCAGGAACGCCGAUGGUGAAGACAGGUGACUGGCCCGGUACUGACGCUGAGGUGCGAAAGCGUGGGGAGCAAACAGG
Molecule: ribosomal RNA, 245 nt
Filed under: uncultured bacterium
Lineage: Bacteria
Description: partial 16S ribosomal RNA
Rfam family: Bacterial small subunit ribosomal RNA
Source: RNAcentral